CAAAGUAGAGCUUGGUUAGUUAAGCUUUCCGUUUACACCGGAAGGAAGUCGUGCGAUUCGAUGUAUUUUGA
RNAcentral lists this transfer RNA (71 nucleotides) under Electrogena lateralis. Its description in RNAcentral is "tRNA-Val". The record is from RNAcentral. Lineage: Eukaryota; Metazoa; Arthropoda; Insecta; Ephemeroptera; Heptageniidae.